CGAAGCGUGCGAUUGGAUUGCACGUCUAAGCAGUAAGGCUGAGUAUUAGGCAAAUCCGGUACUCGUUAAGGCUGAGCUGUGAUGGGGAGAAGACAUUGUGUCUUCGAGUCGUUGAUUUCACACUGCCGAGAAAAGCCUCUAGAUAGAAAAUAGGUGCCCGUACCGCAAACCGACACAGGUAGUCAAGAUGAGAAUUCUAAGGUGAGCGAGCGAACUCUCGUUAAGGAACUCGGCAAAAUGACCCCGUAACUUCGGGAGAAGGGGUGCUCUUUAGGGUUAACGCCCAGAAGAGCCGCAGUGAAUAGGCCCAAGCGACUGUUUAUCAAAAACACAGGUCUCUGCUAAACCGUAAGGUGAUGUAUAGGGGCUGACGCCUGCCCGGUGCUGGAAGGUUAAGAGGAGUGGUUAGCUUCUGCGAAGCUACGAAUCGAAGCCCCAGUAAACGGCGGCCGUAACUAUAACGGUCCUAAGGUAGCGAAAUUCCUUGUCGGGUAAGUUCCGACCCGCACGAAAGGCGUAACGAUUUGGGCACUGUCUCAACGAGAGACUCGGUGAAAUCAUAGUACCUGUGAAGAUGCAGGUUACCCGCGACAGGACGGAAAGACCCCGUGGAGCUUUACUGUAGCCUGAUAUUGAAAUUCGGCACAGCUUGUACAGGAUAGGUAGGAGCCUUUGAAACGUGAGCGCUAGCUUACGUGG
Molecule: ribosomal RNA, 699 nt
Filed under: Staphylococcus aureus
Lineage: Bacteria; Bacillati; Bacillota; Bacilli; Caryophanales; Staphylococcaceae
Description: partial 23S ribosomal RNA
Rfam family: Bacterial large subunit ribosomal RNA
Source: RNAcentral